Taeniopygia guttata (zebra finch) is the source of this 726-nucleotide non-coding RNA. NCBI's taxonomy places the organism in Eukaryota, Metazoa, Chordata, Aves, Passeriformes, Estrildidae. The record is from RefSeq and is a predicted model, not a curated record.
GAUGGUGUCCACCACCCACUCCACGUCGUCCUCCUCUUCGGCCGCCAUGGCCAGCGGCGCGGCCGCUAUGGCAACCGGCGUCACGGGGUAACAAUUCUAUGCUCUCAGAACUGCAGAGAAGUACCUGAUCAUCAUUUAAAUAAGAAUCUGCACUGGAAAAACUUCAGAUUUUCCUUUUGCAGGCCACUUUUUUCACCAUCAGCGCUUCGAUUUCUGUAGCUGGUUUUGUGGUCGGAGAGCUUCAGCAAUAUGGCAGGAUAUUCACUUCCUAUUUGUUGCAUAAAAAGUUAAAGCAUUUCAUUACAGUUACAAGAAAAAUUGCUGCAGCAAUGAGUAUGAGGAAAUUCUGUCCUCUGCAAUCAAAUCCAUUUUAUCACCUCACAGGAAACCGCUGAUGUGAUCAUAUUCUGUCCAUAGAUGUCAGGGGAAACACUGGAGUUGGUGGUUUAGUUGUUAACAAUACAAAAGAUGGAGCAGGAAAUGCUCCCUUAGCUGAGUCACAAAAAGCAUUUAUUGCUUGAUUUUCUGUCUGCUCUGAGCAAGUUGCUACUUCAGACAUUUUGACAUACAUACAAAUAUAUAUAUAUAUAUAUACACUCACACACUGACAGGCAAAUUUUGUCAAGCCUUUCCAGUCUCUGUGUUCCACUGAAUUCUUUAUGCCAGUAUCCAACUCUUCACAUCCAGUGGGUUCCACUCACAAGCACAAUAAUAAAGUUUGAAAUU